This 636-nucleotide ribosomal RNA is filed under the name Podoscypha fulvonitens. RNAcentral describes it as "eukaryotic LSU rRNA". The stretch from base 245 to 398 matches the Rfam family "5.8S ribosomal RNA". Lineage: Eukaryota; Fungi; Basidiomycota; Agaricomycetes; Polyporales; Podoscyphaceae. The record is from RNAcentral.
GUUUGUUUCUUUUCCAAAUUCUCUACACCUCUGUGCACUUUACAUAGAAAGGAUGGCGAGUUUUUAUUAUUGGGGCGAGUCUCUGUGUGAACGGUUUCAUUUGAACUCUCAACCGGUUCUUUUUGAAGCCAAGUAGCUAAAUUCUCAACCGAUAUAAGUUCUCUCUCUCUUUUUCUGUGGUUCAUAACAUCUAUACCAGUCAGUUUAGAAUGUAAAAUCAUCGCGUUUAACGCAAACUACAUACAACUUUCAGCAACGGAUCUCUUGGCUCUCGCAUCGAUGAAGAACGCAGCGAAAUGCGAUAAGUAAUGUGAAUUGCAGAAUUCAGUGAAUCAUCGAAUCUUUGAACGCACCUUGCACUCCUUGGUAUUCCGAGGAGUAUGCCUGUUUGAGUGUCAUGGUAUUCUCAAUCCCUAACAACUUUUGUCGGUUGUUCGGAAUUGGACUUGGAGGCUUAAUUGCCGGUGCUUCGGCGGCUGGCUCCUCUUAAAUGCAUUAGUGUGAAUCAAGUUACACGUCAAUCAGUGUGAUAAUUAUCUGCGCUGUUUUCAACGUUGACUUUUAUAUUGUUGUUCAUGCUUAUAACCCGUCUGUUGACUCAAACACCGUAUACUAUAUAUAACAUAUCCCAUUGUG